UUGUGACAGAGUCUUGAAUAUGAGUUUUUAUAGUAUCAACUAAAACAUAAAAUGAAGUAUUUCCCAUGAGGGGAAAGGAAAGGACAGGGAGUAAAGAAUCCACACUUAGGUGGCUAGAGAAUGAAGGAACAUAAAAAACAAAAAAUACAAAGAGUGGCUUUCCAAUUUGGAUUCAUUUGUAAAAUUACUAUUUCACAGAAGCAGUGGGAAGGGGUAGGGGAGAAAUGAAACAAACCACAAAACAGAACUAUCCUCACACUCAGAGUGCUAGGAAAGAGAAUAUUUCCUGACUUGCCUUAGGACCAAUUAAGCAAUAAAAGGAAAAUCAGCUACUCCCACACCCUCUUCUCCCAGCUCUACCAAGAGCCAGCUUCUCCUUCUGCCCCAAACCCAAAAAUAACCCAGGCUAUUGCUAAUAUUCUCACCUAUAUUCAAAGUUUACCUGCUCUCGGGCCAAUUCCCACAUUUUUGGUCCCACAUCUCUAUACUUUCCUUGGGUUCACCAGAAUAAUAAUCCCUGGAUUCACAAGAAAUAUUAAAAUUUGAAAUUUAAAAUUCAAGUAUAUUUUUAAAACUUUCAAAAAUACCCAUUUUGCUAAGUGUGUAAACAGAAAAUUAAUGCUAAGUCUGUGAAACAUGAGAUCUUUGUUAAAAGAGCAAAAUCAAAUCCAAAACCUGACCAGACAGCUCCAAGAUCCCUGCUUCCCGGAUUGACGACUCCUUCAUUCCACGCUCUUGGCUCCUAAUUUGUCCUUACAUGGGUCACCUAGAGCCCUCCAUCUGUCUGACCCCCUCAGUUCCAUCCUCCCACUCACCAACAGUGCCACGGGGCUCCCAGGCAGUUGGCACCCCAGCUGCCACUGCCUGGCAUGAGAACUCUGGCCGAGACCAGAGGGAACCAUCGCAUUAAAGGAAAUGCUGACUGAACAGAGGCUGCAGAUGAAAGGUUUACUUCUACUCCAUCGUUGAUAGCAGAUGCCUGGUGCCAAGAAAACCCCCAUUCUUCAAUAACCAAAUUUAUGGAGGAUUUUGUUCCCCAGAAAACAUGCAAGAGCCAAUUAACAUAGUCCUACGUUUGAAAUACGUGUUAAAUAUAAGGGGUUUUAUGACACUGAAGAAUCUCAACUCAGCCUACUUAUUUCCACCCAAGAAAGCAGUAAGUUAACCGGAAUCCUCUCCCAGAAACAUCUACUAGGAAACCUAGGGCUGAAUUACACAGGUUCUUUAAGUACCUAGUUCCAGAGAGAGAAAACUCAAUUGUUCUCUAAUUGUUUCAUAAGUGUAGGCUGAUCUCUACACUAGACUAAUCUGUCCUGUAGCAAGGACCGAUUUCUCUGGCACAGAAUCUUGCACUUAAGCAUAUGGUUGGGCAUUUGGUAGACAAUGUAAAUAUUUGCUAAUUUGUCUAAAAAUUGUUUUAAAGCAAUUUUUUAGAUUAUUUUUAGAAAGAAUGUUAAGUUGUUUCCCCCCCCCCUUUUUUUUAAACUGGGAACAUACAGCUAACCCUAUUUGAUAAAGAAAGCAAAGAAACUAUCAUUGAGCUCUUUACUGCCUGAAUUAGAAGGCAGGUGGAGUGACUGUUUUGAGGAGGGAGAAUCUCACUUUAUUUUGCCUUCAUUCAGCUGCAUUCAGCUGCCUACUCCUUCCUCCGUCACAGCACAAAAUGUUCAAUAAAUGGCUCAAUGCAUUAAAUCUUCGUAAGUUAGGAUCGGAGGUGCAGUUCUGCCAUCUUGGUCAUUUCUACCAUUGCUUUUACUCUUUCUUUCUUAUUUUUCCUUGGCCCCCAAACAAGUGGCAUUCAGAAGACAUCUGGAAGCACUCAGCUCAAGAGCUCAGUGAGGACGGCACCCCAACCUCCCUCUUCUAAACCAGAAGCUGACACCAGAAAGUUACAGGUUGUCCUCCUGGAAGAUAAAGGUUAUCUUUCCGGGUAGGAAUCACACCCCCACCUAAGGAAUUUUACCUUCUGGCAUUAUGUCAGACAUAUCUGGAUGGCACAAAUGUCUUUGAGCAAUGGAGAUGCAAAUUAGAAUGUUUAUACAAUAGAUGUAACUAAACCAUAGACUUUACAUUAAAAGAUAAGUUUUAAAAUUCACUUCAAACAUUUCACUUCGGACUACUAAUCUUAAUUUUGGAGAAACUGGUACCACUUUAAAAUUUCAGUGAUAGGAUGUAUGCUCUGAUUCUCCUCAUUCAAACACAAUGCUGCUGUUCAUCCACGGAGCAGAAAAAGAAAUUUUUUUUUUCUUGGUUUUAAGAAGUACAGCAUUUGGGUUACUUUUAAAACCCAUAGUUGAAAAACAUUCUGUAUUAUAUUUGUGACUCACUCUCAAGUGAAAUGUCACCAUACACCCACUCUUCUUUUUUAGGUGAUAAAUAAUAAAAUAUUAGAACAGAACUUUAGUUACAAAGUUCCUUACAAUUUACAGGGAACAAGUGCUUUUAAAAUAAUAAAAAUUAAGCGACUCUGUCGUCUUGUUUUUACUUUUUUACAGUUUAGAUCUCAGGAAAAACUAACUGGGUCUGAGGAGGUAUUAAUCAAAAAACUUUUUUCUUCACAUUGUUAUCCCAGUGUCUCCCAAAACAAUAAAUAAGACACCUGAAAACCUUCCUGAAACUUUCUGGUAACCGAAAUCUUCUCUAUCUUGAUUAGGUUUGGGAUCCUACAGGUGUAUCUAUUUUUUGAAACACAAACUGUACUCUUAUGAUCUCUAUACUUUACUGUAUAUAAAUUUUGGCUCAAUAAAAAGGUUCUCUAAACCUUUCUGCAAACUGCAUUUCAAUAUCUAUAACCAGUUGUCCAUCUCAGAGCUGAGUUUUUCAUGGGUUAUUAAAGCCAAAAAGCCAAAAAGAACUCCCCCUGCCCAAAAGCCAUGGACUAACCUCCCCACCUUGCCCCACAUCCUCCAGACAUUUUCAUCUCAAAUCCGU
Long non-coding RNA from Cercocebus atys (sooty mangabey), 2931 nucleotides. RefSeq lists it as uncharacterized. Lineage: Eukaryota; Metazoa; Chordata; Mammalia; Primates; Cercopithecidae. The transcript has 3 exons. The record is from RefSeq and is a predicted model, not a curated record.